Hemicordylus capensis (graceful crag lizard) is the source of this 2044-nucleotide long non-coding RNA. RefSeq lists it as uncharacterized. NCBI's taxonomy places the organism in Eukaryota, Metazoa, Chordata, Lepidosauria, Squamata, Cordylidae. The record is from RefSeq and is a predicted model, not a curated record. The transcript has 5 exons.
CCACAGUUUCACUUUUGGUAUCUGAUACUUUCAGUGAAACUGACCAUCCUCACUCUUAUUUGGUCAUUUGGAGAAGCAAACUUUGUACUGUACUGUGAAGCAUUACCUAAAUUGAUACCUUUUGUUGUUGGCUAACUAUCUCCAUUUGGCUCCCCAUCCACUUAAGACAUUGGAAAACCUACCCCACAGAUAGCUGAGCAAUUUCACAGAGGCAACUUUGUAGUUCACAAACCGGAGAAAGCGUACUCAACUCUGCCUCUUGAUCAAGUGCAUGAGCAGGCAAAUGACGUUAUUAAGGGUGAUGGAGGAGCAACUGCAGUAACUGAGAGUCCAUCAGCACUGAGGUGGUGGAUGAUUGCUGGACCCAAGUGUUGUCUAGUGCGGGGAUUCUCAACAUUGGGUCCCUAGAUGUUACUGGACUUCAACUCCCAUAAGCCCCUGCCCCAGUGGCCUUUGGUUGGGGAUUGUGGAAGUUUAAGUCCACCAACAUCUGGGGACCCAAGGUUGAGAAUUCCUGGUCGAGUGAAUGACUAUGAGAAAGUUUCAGGUAUCAAAGAUUUUAGAAAAAAAGUAAUCACCACAAACAGUGUGGAUGAGCUCAACAAAUAUUAUUUCAUGGAUGAGCUCACCAAUGUCAUACUGGAAAUGGGGCAGCCUUUUACAGAAUGAUCAUUAGACCACCCUGUUCCACACGAGAGAUAUUGCAGUUGUGCUGACAUGAUUUUUUCACGCUAUGACAGAGGUAUAGAACAGCUCCAGUUAUUCAUGGUGAGACUAGAAAAUUAAGAAGAAAACUUCUUAUUUUGACUUAUUAAGAAAAACAAGUUGUGUUCCUUCAAACCGCAGGUUUGUUUGUUUGUUUGUUUAUCAAUCAUAUUUUUAUACUGCCUGAUAUGUACAAUCUCUAGACGGUAUACAGGUUGCUGCUCCACAGGCUCCAAUGAAGGAAGAUCGCAGCCUUUUCUCAUGACUAUCUCCUUUCAGAACAGUCAGUUGGAUUUGCAGGCAUUUUCGAAGUAUGAAAAGCAGUCUUCUCCAUCAUCACUAAGUGACAAUGGAAAGCUUCACACAUGUGGGAAGUCUCAAUUGAUCUAACUUCUUGAAGUUGAUAUAACUGUGCUGCAAGAAGAACUAGCAGCAGAUAUCAUCCUAGCAGAUAGGUCUGCUGUGGUCAGUACCUCAGAACCACAGAAAAUGGGAACUACUUCUGAUUGAUAUGCAGAGGGUGUGUUUCUUCAUACCAUGCAGAUAUAAUGUAGAAAGUACAAGAGAUGUGAUACAGUUUUUGAUGUUUACUUGCAGGCCAGCCUGAAAGCAGAGACUAGGUGUCAUUGGGGCAAAGGAUCAAGGAGAAGGAAGCAACACAACACCAAAUGAUUGGAAAAGCUUCUUAAGAAAUUCUAGCAACAAGAAAGCCAUUGGUGCUGAUGGAGGAGAAAGUCACAGCAGUAGCAGCUCUGGUGGUAACUCCUUGCAAACACACACUGUGAACGUUUGGCUUCCUGUAGCAUAGAUCCUACAGUUACGUGGAUGUGCUCAGUGAUGGACAAGUAUGGAGCACUUUGCUGCAUACAUCCACCAGCUGUCCUCUGUGGCGGAAGGAGCAGCAGCAGGCCCUUAAGAUGCUGCAGACUGUAGCCAAAUCAGAACAGCAGCAUCGGCAGCAGCACCACCUGGCUUUCUCCAAGGCAACAGCAGGAACCUGAAUUCUCCUUUAUUGUUAUUUUGCUUCUGCUUCUGCAGUUACAAUCCAGCUAUCAAUCUCCAAAUGAACCACCAGCCUUGAGGGAGGAAACAAAGCAUCAUCCCAUUCUUGUGGCCAAGCACACUGCCAGAGUCUACCUUGCUUGCAGGAGACUCUAGAACACCGCAGAGAAGAGAUUGUCCCCCUCCCCCAAGGAAUGUUUUUAACAAAAGAAGAUAAAGCAUAUUUGUACAAUUUUCAUUUCAGAUAAUUUCUGAAUUACGUAUUUUUCUAUGUUUUAAAAAAUUAUUCAUCUUUUUUGUAUUAAAAAUAAAUUGUGUGUUUAUUUCCCCCAUUUAA